UUAUGCCCAGUUUGUGUUCUGUGAUGUUUACCAAGGCUUCAUGCGUAUCUUGUCCAACCCUAAACACUAUGGCAUCAAGGAAACAAGAGGAGCAUGUUGUGGAAUAGGGUGGCAUGGAGCAGCAUCGGGGUGCGACACCAUGGAGAUGGUUUGCAACCAAAGUACAGCUCAUGUAAUCCUUCUAAGGUCGUCAAUUAUCUGCUGGCCGACUCUGCCUGGUUCGGUCAUCCAUUGGGUGACAUCUUUCAUCCCUUGAGCGUCCGAGCACUGGUGAACAUAGCUUCAGCAGCAGCAGCAGCAGCAGGUGUUCUGGCAACAACAGUUAUCGAUUACAAGCUAGAAGCAGCAGCAGCAGUUCUGGCAGAAGUAGAAAGCAGCAAUUCUGGCAGCAGCCAGUUGAAACAAGAACAAAACCAAGCCAGCCUAAAGAGUGUUUAUUUUCACCAGUUGCUGGACUUUCUUGAAGUUCUCUGCCUUAACUGUGACUAUCACCGUUGGUAAUGCAUCCCAUCUUUGUAUUGAAAGUCCUAUCUUGAUUUGUCAUAGAUUUGAUUUCUAACAUCUUCCAUUUUUAUAUCCAGGAUAGAGAUAUUUACUUAAACUUUUAUGUUUAAAGUGUAGUUAGGUUAUCAACAUGUUGGUUGAUCUAUGGUGAAUUUGCCUUUUAUUGGGUUGUAAACUGUUUUGACAGGUAUAUAUUAAUGUAUUAUAACAUUCCCGGUAUUGGGGAGGGUCAAAUUACAAAGGAAAUAUUGUCAAAA
Long non-coding RNA from Spinacia oleracea (spinach), 761 nucleotides. RefSeq lists it as uncharacterized. The record is from RefSeq and is a predicted model, not a curated record. The transcript has 2 exons. NCBI's taxonomy places the organism in Eukaryota, Viridiplantae, Streptophyta, Magnoliopsida, Caryophyllales, Amaranthaceae.